AUACCUGGCGGAUUGCUUACACCUGCAGUUAACGGCAGCACGGACUUCGGUCUGGUGGCGAGUGGCGAACGGGUGAGUAACUACAUCGGAACGUGCCCAGUCGUGGGGGAUAACGUAGCGAAAGCUACGCUAAUACCUGCAUACGAUCUAAGGAUGAAAGCGGGGGAUCGCAAGACCUCGCGCGAUUGGAGCGGCCGAUGGCAGAUUAGGUAGUUGGUAGGGUAAAGGCCUACCAAGCCGACGAUCUGUAGACUGGUCUGAGAGGACGAUCCAGCCACACUGGCGACUGAGAACACGGCCCAGACUCCUACGGGAGGCAUGCAGUGGGGAAUUUUGGACAAUGGGCGAAAGCCUGAUCCAGGCCAUUCCGCGUGCAGGAUGAAGGCCCUCGGGUUGUAAACUGCUUUUUGUACGGAACGCAAAAGGUCCUGGUUAAUACCUGCCUGGCUCAUGACGGUACCGUAAGAAUAAGCACCGGCUAACUACGUGCCAGCAGCCGCGGUAAUACGUAGGGUGCAAGCGUUAAUCGGAAUUACUGGGCGUAAAGCGUGCGCAGGCGGUGAUGUAAGACAGAGGUGAAAUCCCCGGGCUCAACCUGGGAACUGCCUUUGUGACUGCAUCGCUGAGUACGGCAGAGGGGGAUGGAAUUCCGCGUGUAGCAGUGAAAUGCGUAGAUUGCGGAGGAACACCGAUGG
This 695-nucleotide ribosomal RNA is filed under the name uncultured Acidovorax sp. RNAcentral describes it as "bacterial SSU rRNA". It matches the Rfam family "Bacterial small subunit ribosomal RNA", at positions 31 to 715 of the family's 1533-position model. The record is from RNAcentral. Lineage: Bacteria; Pseudomonadati; Pseudomonadota; Betaproteobacteria; Burkholderiales; Comamonadaceae.